Molecule: ribosomal RNA, 321 nt
Filed under: uncultured bacterium
Lineage: Bacteria
Description: bacterial SSU rRNA
Rfam family: Bacterial small subunit ribosomal RNA
Source: RNAcentral
AUUGAACGCUGGCGGAAUGCUUUACACAUGCAAGUCGAGCGGCAGCGCGGGGGCAACCCUGGCGGCGAGCGGCGAACGGGUGAGUAAUACAUCGGAACGUGUCCUUAAGUGGGGGAUAGCUCGGCGAAAGCCGGAUUAAUACCGCAUAAGCUCUGAGGAGGAAAGCGGGGGCUCCGUAAGGACCUCGCGCUGUUGGAGCGGCCGAUGUCGGAUUAGCUAGUUGGUGGGGAAAGGCCCACCAAGGCGACGAUCCGUAGCUGGUCUGAGAGGAUGAUCAGCCACACUGGAACUGAGACACGGUCCAGACUCCUACGGGAGGCA